RNAcentral lists this ribosomal RNA (220 nucleotides) under uncultured bacterium. Its description in RNAcentral is "partial 16S ribosomal RNA". It matches the Rfam family "Bacterial small subunit ribosomal RNA", at positions 30 to 249 of the family's 1533-position model. The record is from RNAcentral.
AUUGAACGCUGGCGGAAUGCCUUACACAUGCAAGUCGAACGGCAGCACGGGAGCAAUCCUGGUGGCGAGUGGCGAACGGGUGAGUAAUACAUCGGAACGUGCCCAAUCGUGGGGGAUAACGUAGCGAAAGCUACGCUAAUACCGCAUACGAUCUACGGAUGAAAGCAGGGGACUCGCAAGAGCCUUGCGCGAAUGGAGCGGCCGAUGGCAGAUAGGUAGU